Molecule: long non-coding RNA, 379 nt
Organism: Passer domesticus (house sparrow)
Lineage: Eukaryota; Metazoa; Chordata; Aves; Passeriformes; Passeridae
Exons: 3
Source: RefSeq, a predicted model, not a curated record
AGGGGGAGAGACCAAGUGGCUGUGUGGUGCUGAGUUGCCAGCUGGAUUUAAAACAUGACGCAGGGAAGAAGAAUAAAUUUGAAGUCUCUUGAGCACAGAUCUGGACUCAUCCUUUUUGCUCAUCCAGCACCAUCAGUACUGAGACUUCUGCAGCUUGAUCUGAUGAGGUGAUUCUCUGAUAGUGGUGGCACAGAAACCAGCUCACUCCUUCUUGUGGGUGACAGCACUCAGGAGGUGAACAAGAGAAAUGAGCUAAAAACUAUUGCCUUCAAACAAAGGUAACAACCUGACUUUUUGGUGUGGGUGAUUACUGACUAGACUCCUCAGAUAUACCCAGAGGAACCCUUCCUUUGCUACUUUAGGAAAGUACUCAGAUGAG